RNAcentral lists this unclassified non-coding RNA (343 nucleotides) under soil metagenome. RNAcentral describes it as "partial contains 5.8S ribosomal RNA, internal transcribed spacer 2, and large subunit ribosomal RNA". The stretch from base 1 to 120 matches the Rfam family "5.8S ribosomal RNA", at positions 35 to 154 of the family's 154-position model. The record is from RNAcentral.
GAUGAAGAACGCAGCGAAACGCGAUAAGUAAUGUGAAUUGCAGAAUCCAGUGAAUCAUCGAAUCUUUGAACGCACAUUGCGCCCGCCAGCAUUCUGGCGGGCAUGCCUGUUCGAGCGUCAUUUCAACCCUCGACCUCCCCUUGGGGAGGUCGGCGUUGGGGACCGGCAGCACACCGCCGGCCCUGAAAUGGAGUGGCGGCCCGUCCGCGGCGACCUCUGCGCAGUAAUACAGCUCGCACCGGGACCCCGACGCGGCCACGCCGUAAAACGCCCAACUUCUGAACGUUGACCUCGAAUCAGGUAGGACUACCCGCUGAACUUAAGCAUAUCAAUAAGCGGAGGA